RNAcentral lists this long non-coding RNA (262 nucleotides) under Mytilus galloprovincialis (Mediterranean mussel). Lineage: Eukaryota; Metazoa; Mollusca; Bivalvia; Mytilida; Mytilidae. The record is from RNAcentral.
AGGCCUUCUUCCAUCUCCCCGUAGUGAGCAGGGGACAACAGUUUUCCCGUUUGAAUGGUUUUACACUAGUAUUUUGGGGCCCUUUAUAGCUUGUUGUUCGGUGUGAGCCAAGGCUCCGUGUUGAAGGCCGUACAUUGACCUAUAAUGGUUUACUUUUAUAAAUUGUUAAUUGGAUGGAGAGUUGUCUCAUUGGCACUCACACCACAUCUUCCUAUAUCUAUGUUAUGAUUGACAAUUCAUUACAUUUAUACAAAUGGCUAAU